GUAGGUGGCAAGCGUUGUCCGGAAUUAUUGGGCGUAAAGCGCGCGCAGGUGGUUCUUUAAGUCUGAUGUGAAAGCCCCCGGCUCAACCGGGGAGGGUCAUUGGAAACUGGGGAACUUGAGUGCAGGAGAGGAAAGUGGAAUUCCACGUGUAGCGGUGAAAUGCGUAGAUAUGUGGAGGAACACCAGUGGCGAAGGCGACUUUUCUGGCCUGUAACUGACACUGAGGCGCGAAAGCGUGGGGAGCAAACAGGGAUUAGAUACCCUGGUAGUCCACGCCGUAAACGAUGAGUGCUAAGUGUUGGGGGGGUUUCCGCCCCUCAGUGCUGCAGCUAACGCAUUAAGCACUCCGCCUGGGAGUACGGUCGCAAGACUG
Molecule: ribosomal RNA, 373 nt
Filed under: uncultured organism
Description: partial 16S ribosomal RNA
Rfam family: Bacterial small subunit ribosomal RNA
Source: RNAcentral